RNAcentral lists this long non-coding RNA (413 nucleotides) under Rattus norvegicus (Norway rat). RNAcentral describes it as "long non-coding RNA NONRATT029382". Lineage: Eukaryota; Metazoa; Chordata; Mammalia; Rodentia; Muridae. The record is from RNAcentral.
UAGGCUCUAACCCGAGUGGGGCUAGGCGGGGAUGGCUCUUGGGAGAAGCUCGGGCUUCAGGGCGGCUACUCCCACGCCCUUUCAUCCCACUUGCCCGGCUGCUCUGCUCCAGGACGCCCCCUACUGUGUGCGAGGUCCGGGUUUGCGCCUCUCUUCUGUGCGUGACCCCCGGCAGCUAGCACCGGCUGCGGCUGGGUGGCCUUGUCUUCCAGCUAGAUGUGGUGGGGGCGGAGUAGGUGGAGGACCAGCAGCCACAGGGCAAAAGGGGAAGCUGGUAGGGAGCAGAAGGCGUCCCGCCGGCGCCGCCGGGCCGGGAAAGGGAUCCAGGCUGGGCAUGUCCUGGUAGCAUAAGAAGCACAAGGAUGCUUCUCUAGGCGGUGGCAGAGAAAAGAGGGCAAGAGGCGGCAGUGCGA